Molecule: ribosomal RNA, 519 nt
Filed under: uncultured bacterium
Lineage: Bacteria
Description: bacterial SSU rRNA
Rfam family: Bacterial small subunit ribosomal RNA
Source: RNAcentral
AGAACUUAGCAGAGAUGCUUUGGUGCCUUUCGGGAACUCUGAGACAGGUGCUGCAUGGCUGUCGUCAGCUCGUGUUGUGAAAUGUUGGGUUAAGUCCCGCAACGAGCGCAACCCUUUAUCCUUUGUUGCCAGCGGUCCGGCCGGGAACUCAAAGGAGACUGCCAGUGAUAAACUGGAGGAAGGUGGGGAUGACGUCAAGUCAUCAUGGCCCUUACGAGUAGGGCUACACACGUGCUACAAUGGCGCAUACAAAGAGAAGCGACCUCGCGAGAGCAAGCGGACCUCAUAAAGUGCGUCGUAGUCCGGAUUGGAGUCUGCAACUCGACUCCAUGAAGUCGGAAUCGCUAGUAAUCGUAGAUCAGAAUGCUACGGUGAAUACGUUCCCGGGCCUUGUACACACCGCCCGUCACACCAUGGGAGUGGGUUGCAAAAGAAGUAGGUAGCUUAACCUUCGGGAGGGCGCUUACCACUUUGUGAUUCAUGACUGGGGUGAAGUCGUAACAAGGUAAGCGUAGCGAG